Molecule: ribosomal RNA, 301 nt
Filed under: uncultured bacterium
Lineage: Bacteria
Description: partial 16S ribosomal RNA
Rfam family: Bacterial small subunit ribosomal RNA
Source: RNAcentral
CAGUAGCCGCGGUAAUACGAAGGGGGCUAGCGUUGUUCGGAAUUACUGGGCGUAAAGCGCACGUAGGCGGAUCGAUCAGUCAGGGGUGAAAUCCCAGGGCUCAACCCUGGAACUGCCUUUGAUACUGUCGAUCUGGAGUAUGGAAGAGGUGAGUGGAAUUCCGAGUGUAGAGGUGAAAUUCGUAGAUAUUCGGAGGAACACCAGUGGCGAAGGCGGCUUACUGGUCCAUUACUGACGCUGAGGUGCGAAAGCGUGGGGAGCAAACAGGAUUAGAUACCCGUGUAGUCCCUGUCUCUUAUAC